Non-coding RNA from Acanthosepion pharaonis, 107 nucleotides. Lineage: Eukaryota; Metazoa; Mollusca; Cephalopoda; Sepiida; Sepiidae. The record is from the annotation of a GenBank genome assembly.
UACAGCCAUAUCACAUUGAAACACCGUUACCCGGACGAUCCCCGAAGUUAAACAACGUCGAGACUGGUUAGUACUUAAAUGGGUGACUGCUUGGAAAUAGCAGCUGG